This 301-nucleotide ribosomal RNA is filed under the name uncultured bacterium. RNAcentral's name for it is "partial 16S ribosomal RNA". It matches the Rfam family "Bacterial small subunit ribosomal RNA", at positions 509 to 807 of the family's 1533-position model. The record is from RNAcentral.
CAGCCGCCACGGGAAUACAGAGGGUGCAAGCGUUAAUCGGAAUUACUGGGCGUAAAGCGCGCGUAGGUGGUUUGUUAAGUUGGAUGUGAAAGCCCCGGGCUCAACCUGGGAACUGCAUCCAAAACUGGCAAGCUAGAGUACGGUAGAGGGUGGUGGAAUUUCCUGUGUAGCGGUGAAAUGCGUAGAGAUCUGGAGGAAUACCGGUGGCGAAGGCGGCCCCCUGGACAAAGACUGACGCUCAGGUGCGAAAGCGUGGGGAGCAAACAGGAUUAGAUACCCCAGUAGUCCCUGUCUCUUAUAC